This 303-nucleotide unclassified non-coding RNA is filed under the name uncultured Pleosporales. RNAcentral's name for it is "sequence contains ITS1". The stretch from base 1 to 105 matches the Rfam family "5.8S ribosomal RNA", at positions 50 to 154 of the family's 154-position model. Lineage: Eukaryota; Fungi; Ascomycota; Dothideomycetes; Pleosporales. The record is from RNAcentral.
GAAAUGCGAUAAGUAGUGUGAAUUGCAGAAUUCAGUGAAUCAUCGAAUCUUUGAACGCACAUUGCGCCCCUUGGUAUUCCAUGGGGCAUGCCUGUUCGAGCGUCAUCUACACCCUCAAGCUCUGCUUGGUGAUGGGCGUCUGUCCCGCCUCUGCGCGCGGACUCGCCCCAAAGUCAUUGGCAGCGGUCCUGUCCGCCUCUCGCGCAGCACGAAUGCGCUUCUCGAGGCGUCGGGGCCCGCGUCCACACAAGCCCAUUUACCAUUUUUGACCUCGGAUCAGGUAGGGAUACCCGCUGAACUUAA